Molecule: long non-coding RNA, 348 nt
Organism: Olea europaea var. sylvestris
Lineage: Eukaryota; Viridiplantae; Streptophyta; Magnoliopsida; Lamiales; Oleaceae
Exons: 3
Source: RefSeq, a predicted model, not a curated record
UAUAGCGUGUGUUUCUAUUUGGGUUCUCAGUUUCUACUUUUUUUCUGCUACAUUUGAUGUGAAGCCUGACCCUCCUGUUUCUGAUCCCCUUCUUCCUACUGAAAAAGAUCCACUUUUUGUGAUUUCUUCAAAUAGGAAUUCUCAUUCUCCAGAAGUUUCAGGGGUAAACGUGUGACUUGAACAAGAAAUUAGGAUUGCAAUGGUUGUAGCUUCGACUCCUCUCGGGGUAAUUUUGCUGUUCUUCGCGGGCUUUUUGAUAUACAAACUGAAAAGGUUGAAGAAAUACCAUGAAAAAAACAAUCGCAGUCCAGCCAUUAAAAAACAAGCGGCUGGUGGACAGGUAGCCGA